UAGCAUCUAGCAUGAUGUUGGGUACUCGGA
RNAcentral lists this non-coding RNA (30 nucleotides) under Rattus norvegicus (Norway rat). Lineage: Eukaryota; Metazoa; Chordata; Mammalia; Rodentia; Muridae. The record is from RNAcentral.